UACAGCCUUCUUUUGACACAACGGAAGGCCUCCUCUCGGCUUUCUGCAAGCAGCUUUUCACUCCCAGGCUCCGCGGGAGCCAGGUGCAUAGCCUCAUAAUGCGCCUAUUAUACAGCCAGGCUCAGUCGCCAUGGCUCACACAAUGACCCUUCUGAUCUGGCCACAACAGCGGGGAUGGGUGCCAAGGCUUCGGUCCCCACCCACAGCAGAUUUAGGUAUGCACUUCGGGUGUAUUUUGCAGCCCCUCUUUACUCCUCCCAAAGGAGGGUUGAAUGCAACCCCCCCCCCCGCCCACUUCCACCCCCGGACACACACACUCGGUUUCAAGACAAACAAGAGUAAUUGUGGCACACCACCUGCGCGCGCAGCUCCAGGUCUUUCCGGCCUCCGCCCAGACAUUCCAGCCAGCCUAGUUGGUGCGGACUGAGACCUCCUGGACACUGCAGCUUAGGCUCAGUCCCUCUUAAUUGACAGUUCAGUACCUGGAGACUGAGGGUUUCAUUUUUCGUUCAGUGAGCACCUCUGAUCCCGUGGUAAAUUGAAGAAAGAGCAGGAGUCAGCGCUCACCAGCUUCAUACCAACCACAGCCACUCCUGUGAGCCCUGGUUACCUCAUUUUGAAGGAAGCAAACUAAAACGUGGCUUUACAAUCAGAGCAACUGUUGCAUGCUAUUGUAUAAUUUUGUUUGGAUUUGGGUGCUCUGGCUUGCUGGGACUUUUGUGCAAGAUAUUAGGUUGAAAUCAAAAGGGGAGGAGAUGCACGACAAACCCAUUUCUGCAGAGAGAAUGGCUGGGCUGCAGAGAGGCUACUGAGACCCAUUCCUGCUUAGCUCCAGGAACUGACCCGUUGCUCCCAGUAAGGGCCCUACUCCUGGGUAGUACCCAGGAAGGGUAGAAGAAACCCGGAAAGGAAGUUUGCCUCCAGAGAUUGGGUUGCCAUAGCUGUUGGAUCAAGAAGACGUUGUUUCAUUGGAAUUUGAGAGCCAUUAAUGGUUUUCAGGAACAUAUUCAUUUGCAGCCUUGAUUCUGCAGCUUUGACUCACUUGCAGCUAUGAAUAAUAAAGACAUGAUACAGAAAUUGUCUCCUCACAUAAAACUCACAGGGAAGGCUACUCAGAGCAGGUGUUCGAGCCCCAAGCAUGGUCAAGGACCCAGGCUGCUCCCAGACUUGGGCUUUUGUGUUCCAAAGCAUCAAGUUCAUUCUCAUAGUUGCCUUGGUGUCCAAGGUGGCUGCCAGACUUCGUCCAUUGCACUUGAAUUGCAGGCUCAGCAGAGGAGGAAGAAGGAAGAGCAAGAGGGUUGUGCAGCCCAACUGGGCCCAUCUUCCCAGCAGUCUCUUAUGAGCCACACCAUUGGCCCGGAUGCAGCAUGAUGCAGACUCCAUUCUGGGCAGUGCACUGUGCAUUUGGAAGAGUUCCCUUUAAAGAGAACAUGGCUGGAUAUUGAGAGUUCCUGACGUGUUGCUGUGGCCAUGGUUAGCA
Molecule: long non-coding RNA, 1480 nt
Organism: Mastomys coucha (southern multimammate mouse)
Lineage: Eukaryota; Metazoa; Chordata; Mammalia; Rodentia; Muridae
Exons: 3
Source: RefSeq, a predicted model, not a curated record